RNAcentral lists this long non-coding RNA (10638 nucleotides) under Brachypodium distachyon (stiff brome). RNAcentral describes it as "long non-coding RNA (BDIS_LNC002428)". Lineage: Eukaryota; Viridiplantae; Streptophyta; Magnoliopsida; Poales; Poaceae. The record is from RNAcentral.
UUAGGCCAUCCUCUUAUAUUGUCUGCCAAAAAUAGAACUACUGCUUAUGAUUUUGUCUUAGACAAGUUAAAAAGUAAACUUAAUGGUUACAAAGCUAACAAGAUUUCUCAUGCGGGCAGACUUGUUCUAAUCAAAUCAGUUUUAGCCGCUCUUCAUGUGUACUAUAUGUCUAAUAUUUUGUUUUCCAAGAAGAUGUUGGCUAAAAUGAAUGCAGUGAUAAGAGACUUCUGGUGGACUGGUGUUCAAGAGGAGAAUUAGGCCUGGCUAUCGAGCAUGCUCGGCUCGUUAUGCUCGUUAACCUUAACGAACAUCAAAACAUGUUUGGCUCAGUUCGUUUACUGCUCGCGAGCGCUCGUUAAGCUCGUUAGUGGUGAAAAAAAUGGUCAGCAUGUAUGCAGAAAAAAUGACAAGCAAAGCAUGUGUACAACAUUAUACAAUAAGUCCAUAACUAAUAAGACUAAUAACCAUUACAGGCUACGACACAAAUACUCAUAAGACUAGCAGCCAUUAUAGCUUCGGUGUCCUCAUACAGUACAAUACAAAAGCACUAAUAAGACUAAUAUUAGUUUGACGAGAGUACGAAACGAGGAGGAGACUAGAGACCCGACUAACCUAACGAGUCUUGGGAUUGGGCCGCAUUCAGGCAGUUGGGCUAUUCGGGAGGGUGUGCUGGGCCUAACAAGUCGUGGGUUACUGUGUUUGGUUUGACCGCCAGACGCCAGAUAACGAGCUAACGAGCAUGCUCGCGAGUCUCGCUAGCUCGGCUCGUUAAGCUCUUUAGUGUUAACGAGUUUCAGGAGGUGCUCUACUCUGCUCUUUAGUCUAACGAGCCGAGUACUAAACGAGUCGAGCUACUCUCCGAAUACCGAGUAAAAUGUCCAGGCCUAAGGAGAAUCAAAAGAAGCCCCUCUACCUCAAGGCUUGGGCUGAGAUUUGUAAAUUCAAAAAAAAAGGUGGUCUAGGAAUUAGAAAUUUAGAAGCUGUCAACAAAGCUAUUCUAGUUAAUUCUGCUUGGAAAAUUGUCACCACUAAUCAUAGCACUACAGCAAGGAUCUUAAAUCUAAAUAUUUUCCAUAUACCUUUUUCUGGAAAGCGCCCACUGAUAUUCCUAAGUCCGCUUUUUGGUCUUCAAUUCUUAAGGUGAGGAAACCUCUUAUCAAUGUUGUUACUUUGCAAAUAUCCAAAGGUAAUACUUGCAUUUGGUCUGGUCCUUGGUGUCUUUUCUGAAAUAACAUUCACAAGUCUUUUUAUCCAGAAUUCUGGUUUUCAUUAUCCUACUAUGAUUAAAGAUCUUUGGAUUCAUAAUACACAAGUUUGGAAUAUGCAACUUUUAGUUACUCUCUUUGGUCAACAAAAAGUUAAUAUUGUCUCCCAGAUUCCUAUGAAUGCCGACCACAAAAUGUUGUGUGGGGGCCAAUAAUUAAGGAGGGUAAAAAUCUGGAGGUGCUCAUCAGUGAACAAUUCCUUUCAGACUUAAAUCUGGUGGUUGCCGACACAAUAAUUGAGUGAGGUGAUAAGGUUGGCAGCUGCAUGCAUGUGCUCUGAACGCAUCAUUGUCCUUUUUGUCUCAAGAAGCAAUAGAUGCUAGCUGAUCUCCUCCCCCCAAUAAAGUUACUCUGCUUACAAGCUCCAGGCCUGCAAGCAGCGGAUCUCAUCGCCGGGCACCGAAAAUCAUAUCAUCGUUCUUACCAGGUAACAGAAACUCCCUUUGUUUUCUUGCCCGAUUUCUCCUCCUCCUCUCUGGAUUGCCCCAACGUGCCAUCCUCCUUCUUUCUUGGAAGAAUCGGUCCAACGAAGAAGUAACACCUUGAUUUGAUUUCAGGGAGAGAUCACCUUCGUUUGAUUUCAGUAUCUCGAUCGAGCACUUGAUCAGGUGCUUUUUCGCGGAGGAUCCCCUGACGUACGGCCGUGUGCUUUUUUCGCUAUCUCCUUCUAAUCAAUUUGUUGCCUAACGCUACUGGCAGCAGUUUAGUCCGACUGUACAAAAUAAAAGGACACUGGGCAGUCUAGUUCUUUAAUAUGUGCUCAUUUUUGUUGUCUUGGUGCAGUUGCUCACAAAUCCCAAUAUAUAGCUACUACAUGAUCCUGAAGAUCUGGGAAUUGUUUAUUCCAUCAACUACACAUGCAUAAACCAAAAGAGGUUUCUUCCCUUCAAAGCAACCACUGCAUCGGUUUACUCCAUCAACUACACUAGCUAGUUGGAGAGAACUUUGUUCUGAUCGGGUGGAACCAAAUGGCUGAACUUUUGGUGAGCGCUUCCACGGGCGCCAUGGGUUCCCUACUUGGAAAGCUGGGCACCAUGCUGAGCGAUGAAUACAAGCUGCUCAAGGGUGUUCGUGAUGACAUCAAGUUCCUCAAGGAUGAGCUUGAGGCGAUGCAAGCAUUCCUCUUGAUGAUGGCAGAUGUGGAGGAACCUGACCAGCAAUCCAAGCUCCGUGCAAAUGCUGUGCGGGAGCUGUCAUACGAGAUCGAGGACAGCAUAGACAAGUUCAUGGCACUCGUGGAAGAUGAGCCUAGUUCCAAGUCCGAAGGUAUCAUGAGGCUUUUUAACAGUACCAAGGACAAGAUAACAAACAUCAAGACCCGCCAUAAGAUUGCCAAGGACGUCAAAGACAUCAAGAGCCAAGUAAAGGUGGUCAGCGAGAGAUACGCAAGGUAGGUACACAAACAAAUUUUGUAGAGCCCUUUGCAUUUUAAGGUCUUUCUGUACCAUCAGUGACAUAUACCCCGUGCCAUCAAAUUUGAUCACUUAUUUGGCCUUCUUAUGUCUAACUUCUUGCCCUGCCACUGAAGGUACAAGAUCGAUGAGUCCGCCAGAACUAGACAUGAAAAGGUCGACCCUCGACUGUGUGAGGUCUAUAAAGAUGCGUCAGAACUUGUUGGGAUCGAUGGUCCGACAGAUGAGCUUAUGAAGUGGUUGAGUGACAAGGAGGGUGAAGCGGCACAUCACCUUAAAGUUGUAUCUAUUGUUGGAUAUGGAGGGUUGGGGAAAACGACUCUUGCUAAACAGAUGUAUGACAAGAUUGGAACAAACUUUGAAUGUCGGGCCUUUGUGUCAAUUUCUCGAAGUCCUGAUAUGACGAAGAUCUUGAGUUCUAUAUUAUCUGAAAUCAGCAAUGGAAAGGAACAUCCUAGAUCGACGUACCAGCAAAUUAUCGACCAGAUUAGAGAUUUCCUGAAAGAUAAAAGGUAAUGUAACCAUAGUGUACAUAAGGUAAUAUUUGUAUUUGUACCAUUUCUCCAAAUGCACAGGCCGGAAAGGUUUUGUUCUAUUAUCAUAAAAAACGCAAGUCCUAAAACCUUUUGUAGCUCAGCCACAUUUCAUAUCCUUCCAUGGUUUUGAAAUACACAAAUCUUACCACAAUUAGUUUGUUAUGGCUUAAUUUUAAUUGCUACAAAUUAUUGCGUAGACUGCAAAGUCAAAUUCUACCUAAUUUAAGCGCCGUGAGACAUGUCUGAAAUCAUUGGUGAACUGUUUCUAGUUCAAGGUUUUGUAAAUAAUUAUCAAUACUUGAUCUUUCGUAACAAUUCUAUAACAAUUGGGGUGGGUUCCCCCCUUUUCCCAGAAUAGUCGCAGCAAAACAAAAGCUCACAUAAUGUAUGUUGCUUUUUAAAAAUUCUCCAAUUCAUACAUGUAAUGGGAUAAACGUAAAAUAGCACAACUUAUUUUGGCGCAUAGACGAUUACUUAGAAAUAUCAAUUAUUACCUCCUAAAGGAUUAUUUACAAAUUGAAAUGGCAGAAUAACAAUAACUAGUAAUUAAAUUAAAUCUUGAAGCACUACAAAAUUCCACAUUUGGAAGAUUGAAUCUGCAAACUUCUACAACUUCGAGAAAACACAAAGCUUGUGUCUCGGUGUAUUGAAAAGUAAGGAGUUUUACAAGCCGGACAGGCUGAGUACAACGUUUUUGUGAGGACUAAGCAACAUCCCACCCUGGGAUAACUAAACGCAACCCUUACGUGCCUCCCAAGGUCCACGCAAUGGCUUCGUAUUGGUUUGAUCGCAGAAGUAGAUUUCCAUCCAGUCUGCUCUUGUUGAAGAUGCACGCGUUUCGGUGCUUCAACAACAUCCAGGCCGUCAGCAGGCAGCAGCACCAUGCUGGAGAAGCCCUUUCUGAGCACUUUUGCCAUGGCUGGCUUAGCUGUUCUCCACCAGACAACUAGGUCCUCAUCGGCGGCUGGCGGCGCCGCAGUGGAUCAAACCCAAGACAACACUUCAAGCGAAGUGAUCGUAGAAGAGGCAGGCAGUGUAAUGCUCAAGGCCAUGGCGUUCUCGGCGCAUUUUCAUAUUUUAGGUAGCCAUAAAUCUCAGACGGUAAGAACAUUUUGCAAUAAGACUACUCGAAAGGACAUAUUUUAAAUUAACCAAUGACCUAUAAAUAAUCUAGCUAUAUCUAUACCGAUAAUACAUAGGACGAGUUAGGAUGGUUUAAUUUUGACCCAAGCUUUCUAGAAUCUUUAAUAUAAUUCUGUAAUGAUCUACCAAUAGUUGCACACAAGUAAUGGUGCACCCUUGAUCAUUCUUGUAAUUAUGAUAUUUUCGUGAUCUCAUUUUGUAUAGAUGAGAAUUGUUGUUUCUCUGUCCCUUUUUUAUGAUAUUUCUGAAAUAAGACUAGACAUACAGGUGCAGUGUAGGUUUUGUAAAAAAAACAGAGACCUGAUGUUGAAUUUAUACUAUAGCGGACAUACCUUAUAUAUUGUUCAAAGUGUGCACUGCACAUGUAUGAUUGCUAAUGUAUAUAUUAGUGAAUGGUAUAGCACACGUAUUCUAUUCAGUUCAUUACUACAAAUGUCAUGUGAACCUUGUAUCGAUACUCCUAUAGCACAUGAUGUUAUUUAAUAUUUUUUCCUAUAACUAUAUUGCAGGUACUUUAUCAUAAUUGAUGAUGUAUGGGACAUACAAUCGUGGAAAAAUUUGGACUGUGCACUGGUCAAGAAUGAUUGUGGUAGUGUAAUAAUGACCACAACACGUAAAAAUAAUGUAGCUGAAUCUUGCUGCUCUUCUCAUGGGGAUCUUGUGUACAAAAUCCAACCACUUGGUGUAGCUGACUCAAAGAAGUUAUUUUUCAAGCGAAUAUUUGGUUGUGAAGAAAAGUGCCCUCCUAACUUAAAAGAAGCAUCGGAAGAUAUUUUAAAAAGAUGUGGUGGUUUGCCACUGGCCAUCAAUGCCAUAUCUAGCUUGCUGGCUACUGGGAAAACAAAAGAAGAGUGGGAUCGCGUACGGCUUUCAAUUAGCUUUGCACAAGGGAAAACUUGUGACAUUGAUGCCAUGAAUUACAUAUUAUCUCUGAGCUACUUUGACCUUCCUCUUGAUCUAAGAAGUUGCCUAUUAUACUUGACUAUGUUUCCUGAAGAUUCUGUGGUUGAAAGGCAACGAUUAGUACACAGAUGGAUUUCUGAGGGUUUCAUCCAUGGCAAAGGCGGGGAAGAUCUUAUUGAGCUAGGAGUGGCAUAUUUUCAUGAGCUUGUGAACAGAAGUUUAAUACAGCCGGUGAAUAUAGGGUAUGAUGGUAAGGCAUGGGAUUGCCGAGUCCAUGACACCAUUCUUGAUUUCCUCAUUUGCAAGUCUAUUGAAGAGAACUUCUGUACAUUCUUAAGCGAUCAUAUAAAACGAGAUAGCAAAAUUCGCCGGCUUUGUCUCACUGGAAAUAAAGAUCAAGGCAGGGUGGAGCAAUUGGAUUUAUCACAUGCUCGAUCACUUGCUAUUUUUGGCAAAGCCGAUCUAAUUCCUUCCCUUGUGAAGUCAAAUGCUCUGCGGGUGCUGGAUCUAGCAGAUUGCAAUGGAUUGAAGAAUCAUCAUAUCAAAGAUAUUGGAAGACUUUGUCAGCUGAGAUACUUGACCACCAGUCGGUCAAGUAUACGGCCAAGUAUACGGUUAAGUAUACUGUUAAGUAUAAGUGAGCUUCCUAAACAGAUUGGAGACUUGGUGUAUCUGGAGACGCUAGACGUGUCCAACUCAAUGUUAGUUGAGCUGCCUGAAUCGGUUACUCGUCUAAAACGACUGGCGCGGCUUUUUGUUCCAAGAUAUACUAAAUUGCCUGAUUGUAUUGGAAACAUGGAGAAGUUGCAAGAGCUUGGGAAUUUUAUAGACAUUUUUGAGCAAUCAGUGAAGUUUGUUGAAGAGCUUGGCAAACUAAUAAAUCUGAGGAAACUGAGUGUUUAUUUGGACGACAAAGCAAGCUACAAGAAAAAAGAAAUGAUAGUGUCCUCCCUCUGUAAACUGGACACAUGCAAGCUUCACACCCUCUCUAUUCAGUUUUCAAUUGAAGGAAAGGAUGCUGGAACCUUGAUAGAGGGGCAUCCAUUUUUUAUCCCUGCUCUCAAAUGCAUUCGAGAGAUUUACCUCGCCAAUAAGCAACUCUGUUGGAUUACCAAAUGGAUUAUUUCACUCGCCAACCUAGAGAAAUUAACUCUCUGCGGCCAGUGGGUAGUGCAGCAGGAUGUUGAGAUGGUUGGAAGCAUACCUAGUCUGCUCGAAUUUUUUGGGCCAAAGUUCGCAAAACCUGUCAUCAUUCGCAGCAGUGGGGGGUUUCAACGGUUGCAGGCGUUCACGUUCUGGUUGCAUGAUAGAGAGUUUAUGUUUGAAGCGGGGGCUAUGCCGAAUGUCAGGAAGCUCUUCAUCAACAUUUGUCUAAUAGAUAUCAAAUGUGCAAGUGGUGGUCGUGGUGGUUUUGAUGAUAUUGGCAUCCACCACCUCUCCAGCCUUGCUGAGCUCUAUGUACAGAUAUUUUGUCAUGGCGUGAAAGUUGCAGAUGUGGAGGCUGUGGAGGUUGCUUUCAAGAGCAUGGCCGAAGCACACCCCAACCGUCCUAAGUUGAAAUUGAUGAGAGCAUAAGGUAAUUUUAUGGUAAGGGAUGAUUAGUGAUUUCCCUCUCUAUCGAGACCAGACGGUGAUCGGAUAUGACGAGAUGCUGAAGGAGAAUUACAAGGUGAGGGGAUGCACGGAAGUCGUGCUUCCGCAAGCACGACUGGAGCUACGGUUUUUUCUUACUUCAUCUCUCUUAGAUGCUGAUGCUACCUGCGGCUGCCAGAUCGAUCAGGCCAGUGUAGUUUUAUUGUUUUCCCUGUGCUUUAAUAUCUGAACAUUUCUCGUGAUUUUUCACCACCCAGCUUUGCUUGCAUCAGCUGCUUGGUGUGGUGGUUAUCAUCUUAAAGAAUGAUAUAUGUGGUUCACUUGCAGUACGUCUCGAUGGAAUAUCUGAUAACGCCUGGGGUUAAGCUGUUUUUGGUGAUAAAUUUGUGCGUGGCUGGCUAGCUCAUUUACAGUCUUUAGAGACAAAUAACAUCCAUAUCAUAUCCUAAAGCCGGUGGAUUGUUCGGCCUCUCAGCGCUCCCCCGAGGCUUGACUGGCUUCCUUUUAUUUGGACGGGCGUUGUCAAAGAGGGAGGGAAAGCAGGGAGCUUAUUGGGGGCUCACUCGCGAUCUCGAGCUGGCGACCCCACGCUCCUCCCACCACCUCGCCUCCGCCAUCGCGGCCGCGGGUCUCCUAGCCGCCGCCGCCGCCCCCCACGCCGCCCAGCGCAGCUGCCGCACGCCCCCGGCGCGGGCGGCGCCGCCACCCUUGACUCUUUAUUUCUCUUCUCUUAUCCUCAAUCCCCAGCCCCGAACAGAUCUCUCUCGCACGAAACUCCUCUCUCGAUCCACAACCGCACGCGCUCCGCCCCGCCCCGUCCCCCGGCGGCAAGACCUGUGGGCCUGGCCCGAACCCUGAGAGCAACGAACCCCUAGCGGCACCGGCCGGGCCGCCGCCCAUCUCCUCCUUCCUCGUCCUUCGCGACUGCUCCUUCGCAGGUCACCACAGCAGAGCCUCCUUCUGUAAUUCGUGGUUACAACUGCUUGCGGGGUGCGGGGUCCGGAAUCACGGGGAGUCCAGUGCCAGAAGGCUGCCGUCUACGCCUGGCCUCCGCUGCUCCGGUCUUCCAUUCCACGUUCUGAAUUUGAGGUAAGUUCUUGAUCUAGAGGACUUAUUGGUUCGUGAUUUGGCUAGGGAUUUGGUUCUUAAUCUUAAUCUCAGGGGAAAUUUGUUCUUGUUCUUUCAGUUCUGCUCCUCCUCCUUUCUCCGUCGACAUUAUAUUGAUGCACUGCGGUCUACUCAUAGAGUAGCACUAUUAUAAGAUACAAAAAAAAAUGCUAUUCCGUAUUAAGAAUGCUCAUGAUAGUUUUCUAAUAAGGAUGUAGAAUGAAUCUGAUGUUGUUAGUUUCAGUGAUCUUUGGUGCUGGUAAUACGCAUGAUUGUGCCCUUAUUAAAUCUAUUGGUUCGAGUUUCUUAUCAAUCCAUUUCAUUCCUGAUAAUUGCAAGAUGACAUUCUUUUUCAUUUUCAGUUAUGCAGUUCUAUUUCUUGACGGGAGUUCUUUUUCAGUUUUAGUUAUUCUUCUUAAAUUUGUUACCUUCUGAUGUUGAACUAUAUAUGCUCUCCACUAUGUUCUUCAGCAUGCUGCUAGGCUGCUUAACAUUGCUAAGACAUGUGAACUUCUAAUGAUCCUUUGAAUAUGAGAUUCAUGUAUUCUGUUAGAGUUUACUGCAUGUUAGUUAGAGAUACAUGCAUACUAAUUAGAGAUACUGCAUGUAAGAGUUUCUACUGCAGAUUGUAUAUGACUGCUUUGUAUCUCAUAUUGCUCAAUGUGGAAUUGUGGAGUUUGAUUUGCCGAAAGAUGAGGAUAGGACCAUGAACAAGACUUGCAAGUGUACAAGUAAUCAAGAGAAGUUGAUACUUCUGGUUAUGAGAGUGAUCUUUUCAGGAAUAAGAAUUGUAUUUAUGUAGUAUUGUAUCAAUUGUAUCAAGUUUGUUACUUCUGCAGUACAUCCUGGCUCGUUAAUUCGACUUGUGGGCAUGCCUUUACCUGUAGAAAAAAAAUAUGAAUUUAGUUGUGCAUGGCUGAUGUAUCUGAAAGACAAUCUUCAUAUAAUCUGACAGCUGGCAACCUAUGCACGGGAUAAACGGGCUGACGUUGUUGAGCCCAUAUGUCUCAGCUUCGUCCGUACGGUAGAGGUCGGCCGCUUCCCCAAGGGCCCGGUUGAGUGAAAAUCUUUCUUGCUUAUACCUGGAUGCGGAGCAGAUCUUGGUUGGAUAUGUGUGUGGAUUUUAUUACUAGCAAAAUGCAUAUCCAUACGUUUGUAUUAUUCUGAUAUGCGUUGAGUUCAAGUUCAUACAUUUUAUCCGUAUAUGUGUGAGUUCAAGUUCAUGUAUUUUGUUUUGACUUCUUCCGGAUAGCGUAUUGUUAAAAAAUUCUGCGUUGCAUUCUUAAGUUGAAGUUCGUGUUUUUGAAUUCUUUUGGGACUCUGUGCUCUUAAUACAUCUUGUUUGUGGAAGAAUAUACAUCCAUAUGUGCAAAAUGUUGGCUCAUAUGGUUGCUUUGUGUUUUCGAUUUGAGGAUUCGGAGCAUAAAACAUUAAGUGGUACAGAAUAUCUAGAUAAUGUAAUCUUCGUCAACUUGAAAAGUACUGGAGAUUCUAUUUUGACCAAAAAAAAAUUCAAUGACUGGAGAUUCUAUUUUGACAAGAAAAAAAAUCGAUGAGAGCACGAAUAAAUGGUACCAAAUUGAUUGCCUUUUUUCGUAAAUAAUUAUAAACGAUGAUACUAAGUUCACUGAUUAAUUAUUGCACAUUUGGUGAUUAAUAUUCAAAGAAUAUAAUGUUUGGAAUCUGAAGUGUUAGAAAAAUAUGCAUCAAUUUUCAGGUAUGCGAUGCAAAAAUACAAGGUUGCAUAAUGAAAAAACAACUACAAAACAUAGCAAUUUAUUUUUGCGUGAUUGUCACAAAAAACAUGAGAAAAGUGUUGCCUAGAUCGUUUUAGUUUUGUCAACAACGCAGCGAAGCGCGCGUCCCCUGCUAGUAUGCCUAUAACUUUGGCCCAAAGGCCACCUCUAUUCUAAUUCUGCAGUGUAUAUAGGUAUCUUCCGAUCCAUAUUAGUUAUCGAAAUAUUACAUGUAUCUAGACACUUUUUAGACAUAGAUACAUCCAUAUUUGAGCAAAUUUGAGACAAUUAAUAUGAAUCGGAUAAAACCGUUUUUUUUUUGCCGUGAAUGAUAAGGGGUGCCAGUCAAAUCUAGCCAUCCAUGCAUACGGGUACUUUAGAUAUUUACUAACAAUCUUUUUUUUUCUUCCUAACAGCAAAGCCAAGACUUAAUAGUCUGUGGACAGACCACAAGGGAAGAAGCAACGACCAUUUCGAACACUUUGCAACAUUUUUGUUCUCUUUCAGGUCAAACUCCUAAUUAGGCCAAGUCUUCGGUUUUGUUUAGUAAGAAUGUGGUGGAUGCGCAGAGGGACAUCGUCAAAGGUAUUUUUAGAGUGGUAGAUAUGAAACCUGAAUCCUUCCAUUUAGGCCAUCCUCUUACAUUGCCUGCCAAAAAUAGAACUACUGCUUAUGAUUUUGUCUUAGACAAGUUAAAAAGUAAACUUAAUGGUUACAAAGCUAACAAGAUUUCUCAUGCGGGCAGACUUGUUCUAAUCAAAUCAGUUUUAGCCGCUCUUCAUGUGUACUAUAUGUCUAAUAUUUUGUUUUCCAAGAAGAUGUUGGCUAAAAUGAAUGCAGUGAUAAGAGACUUCUGGUGGACUGGUGUUCAAGAGGAGAAUCAAAAGAAGCCCCUCUACCUCAAGGUUUGGGCUGAGAUUUGUAAAUCCAAAAAAGAAGGUGG